RNAcentral lists this ribosomal RNA (600 nucleotides) under Lactiplantibacillus pentosus. RNAcentral describes it as "bacterial SSU rRNA". It matches the Rfam family "Bacterial small subunit ribosomal RNA", at positions 70 to 636 of the family's 1533-position model. The record is from RNAcentral. Lineage: Bacteria; Bacillati; Bacillota; Bacilli; Lactobacillales; Lactobacillaceae.
CUCUGGUAUUGAUUGGUGCUUGCAUCAUGAUUUACAUUUGAGUGAGUGGCGAACUGGUGAGUAACACGUGGGAAACCUGCCCAGAAGCGGGGGAUAACACCUGGAAACAGAUGCUAAUACCGCAUAACAACUUGGACCGCAUGGUCCGAGUUUGAAAGAUGGCUUCGGCUAUCACUUUUGGAUGGUCCCGCGGCGUAUUAGCUAGAUGGUGGGGUAACGGCUCACCAUGGCAAUGAUACGUAGCCGACCUGAGAGGGUAAUCGGCCACAUUGGGACUGAGACACGGCCCAAACUCCUACGGGAGGCAGCAGUAGGGAAUCUUCCACAAUGGACGAAAGUCUGAUGGAGCAACGCCGCGUGAGUGAAGAAGGGUUUCGGCUCGUAAAACUCUGUUGUUAAAGAAGAACAUAUCUGAGAGUAACUGUUCAGGUAUUGACGGUAUUUAACCAGAAAGCCACGGCUAACUACGUGCCAGCAGCCGCGGUAAUACGUAGGUGGCAAGCGUUGUCCGGAUUUAUUGGGCGUAAAGCGAGCGCAGGCGGUUUUUUAAGUCUGAUGUGAAAGCCUUCGGCUCAACCGAAGAAGUGCAUCGGAAACUGG